Molecule: ribosomal RNA, 372 nt
Filed under: uncultured organism
Description: partial 16S ribosomal RNA
Rfam family: Bacterial small subunit ribosomal RNA
Source: RNAcentral
GUAGGUGGCAAGCGUUGUCCGGAAUUAUUGGGCGUAAAGCGCGCGCAGGCGGUUCUUUAAGUCUGAUGUGAAAGCCCACGGCUCAACCGUGGAGGGUCAUUGGAAACUGGAGAACUUGAGUACAGAAGAGGAAAGCGGAAUUCCACGUGUAGCGGUGAAAUGCGUAGAGAUGUGGAGGAACACCAGUGGCGAAGGCGGCUUUCUGGUCUGUAACUGACGCUGAGGCGCGAAAGCGUGGGGAGCAAACAGGAUUAGAUACCCUGGUAGUCCACGCCGUAAACGAUGAGUGCUAAGUGUUAGGGGGGUUUCCGCCCCCCUUAGUGCUGCAGCUAACGCAUUAAGCACUCCGCCUGGGGAUACGGCGCAAGGCUG